AGGAAGAGAACGGUGUUCGUGGGUAGAAUACAGACGAAUAAGCAGGAACAGCCUCCAGUGAGUUAAGAAAAUAAAGUUAUGAAAAGAGGAAACCGUCACAGGAAAGGAAAGCGUUGGAAGAAAAAAUGGUUCACUCUGUUGGUUCGAAAGUUCGGGUUGAAGCUUCACACUCGCGAUUCGGUGCUUCGCUCACUGCUUCACUCACUGCCUCAUUCACACGAUAAACACAAGGGCUGGCUAGAUUCAUUUGCUCUGAAGGGGAAGAAGCGAAAGGAAGGAAGAAAGGGAGGAAGGAGGAGGGCCAGGUUGCAGUCUCUAUGCAGUGGUGAAGAUGGAAGGGAAAACAGACCAAAUGGAAGACUGAAGAAGACCUGGAGACAGUGAGUGGAGGGAGACAUGAGAAAGACGAACAUCAAGGAGAGGAAAGUAUAGGAUAGUCAAGAGUGGGAGAAUCAUAGCCGGAUAAGGAUGGUAAAUGAGAAGAUGAAGACAACUGUACCCUACCCCACUGAGCAGCCUUCCACUCACCAAUGAACUUAACAAUGUAUCCCAUGUAUCUGUCAAGAGUGGGAGAGACUCAUAGCCGGCCCAGACCCAUAAGGAAAAAUAAGGAUGCUAAAUGAGAAGACGAUGACGACUGUACCCUACCCCACUG
Eriocheir sinensis (Chinese mitten crab) is the source of this 655-nucleotide long non-coding RNA. RefSeq lists it as uncharacterized. The transcript is spliced from 4 exons. The record is from RefSeq and is a predicted model, not a curated record. NCBI's taxonomy places the organism in Eukaryota, Metazoa, Arthropoda, Malacostraca, Decapoda, Varunidae.